This 497-nucleotide ribosomal RNA is filed under the name uncultured bacterium. Its description in RNAcentral is "partial 16S ribosomal RNA". It matches the Rfam family "Bacterial small subunit ribosomal RNA", at positions 28 to 507 of the family's 1533-position model. The record is from RNAcentral.
GAUGAACGCUGGCGGCGUGCCUAAUACAUGCAAGUCGAGCGAACGGACGAGAAGCUUGCUUCUCUGAUGUUAGCGGCGGACGGGUGAGUAACACGUGGAUAACCUACCUAUAAGACUGGGAUAACUUCGGGAAACCGUAGCUAAUACCGGAUAAUAUUUUGAACCGCAUGGUUCAAAAGUGAAAGACGGUCUUGCUGUCACUUAUAGAUGGAUCCGCGCUGCAUUAGCUAGUUGGUAAGGUAACGGCUUACCAAGGCAACGAUGCAUAGCCGACCUUAGAGGGUGAUCGGCCACACUGGAACUGAGACACGGUCCAGACUCCUACGGGAGGCAGCAGUAGGGAAUCUUCCGCAAUGGGCGAAAGCCUGACGGAGCAACGCCGCGUGAGUGAUGAAGGUCUUCGGAUCGUAAAACUCUGUUAUUAGGGAAGAACAUAUGUGUAAGUAACUGUGCACAUCUUGACGGUACCUAAUCAGAAAGCCACGGCUAACUACGUG